This 300-nucleotide ribosomal RNA is filed under the name uncultured Methanosalsum sp. RNAcentral's name for it is "bacterial SSU rRNA". It matches the Rfam family "Bacterial small subunit ribosomal RNA", at positions 496 to 795 of the family's 1533-position model. The record is from RNAcentral. Lineage: Archaea; Methanobacteriati; Methanobacteriota; Methanomicrobia; Methanosarcinales; Methanosarcinaceae.
GCUAAGGCCGUGGCAGCAGCGGCGGUAAUACGGUGGAUCCGAGCGUUAUGCGGAUUUAUUGGGUUUAAAGGGGGCGUAGGCGGGCGUGUAAGUCAGGGGUGAAAUACGGCAGCUCAACUGGCGCAGUGCCUUUGAUACUGCAGGGCUUGAAUACACUUGAAGUAGGCGGAAUGUGACAAGUAGCGGUGAAAUGCAUAGAUAUGUCACAGAACACCGAUUGCGAAGGCAGCUUACUAAAGUGUGAUUGACGCUGAGGCACGAAAGCGUGGGGAUCAAACAGGAUUAGAUACCCGGGUAGUC